AGAGUGGACUGGAUGGCCGCUGGCCGAGGCCGGAUGCGUCGCCAUAUCGACGCCCCUGCGGCCUCGGCGAGAGGAAAGUCCGGGCUCCGCAGGACACGGUGGUGGGUAACGCCCACCGGCCGCAAGGCCAGGGAAAGUGCAACAGAGAGCAGACCGCCUCACAGGGUUCCCCCUGUGCGGUAAGGGUGAAACGGUGAGGUAAGAGCUCACCAGCAGGCCGGGUGACCGGCCUGGCUAGGCAAACCCCACCGGGAGCAAGGUCAAG
RNAcentral lists this RNase P RNA (265 nucleotides) under Planctomycetaceae bacterium. Its description in RNAcentral is "partial RNase P RNA component class A". It matches the Rfam family "Bacterial RNase P class A", at positions 1 to 232 of the family's 367-position model. From Rfam's summary of the family: Ribonuclease P (RNase P) is a ubiquitous endoribonuclease, found in archaea, bacteria and eukarya as well as chloroplasts and mitochondria. The record is from RNAcentral. Lineage: Bacteria; Pseudomonadati; Planctomycetota; Planctomycetia; Planctomycetales; Planctomycetaceae.